RNAcentral lists this ribosomal RNA (601 nucleotides) under uncultured bacterium. RNAcentral describes it as "bacterial SSU rRNA". It matches the Rfam family "Bacterial small subunit ribosomal RNA", at positions 539 to 1140 of the family's 1533-position model. The record is from RNAcentral.
CGUUGUUCGGAUUUACUGGGCGUAAAGGGCGAGUAGGCGGCAUUGAAAGUCAGAUGUGAAAAUCUUCUGCUUACCAGGAGAACUGCAUCUGAAACUCCAGUGCUUGAGUUUGGAAGAAGGGAGUGGAAUUCUCGGUGUAGCGGUGAAAUGUGUAGAUAUCGAGAAGAACACCUGUGGCGAAAGCGGCUCUCUAUUCUAAAACUGACGCUGAGGCGCGAAAGCUAGGGGAGCAAACGGGAUUAGAUACCCCGGUAGUCCUAGCCGUAAACGAUGUACACUUGGUGUUAGGGGAAUCGACCCCUCUAGCGCCGAAGCUAACGCGAUAAGUGUACCGCCUGGGGAGUACGGCCGCAAGGUUAAAACUCAAAGAAAUUGACGGGGGCCCGCACAAGCGGUGGAGCAUGUGGUUUAAUACGACGCAACGCGUAGAACCUUACCAGGGCUUGACAUGUAUUUGACAUCCCAUGAAAGUGGGCUUUCCGCAAGGACAGAUACACAGGUGUUGCAUGGCUGUCGUCAGCUCGUGUCGUGAGAUGUUGGGUUAAGUCCCGCAACGAGCGCAACCCAUGUCCUUAGUUGCCAGCAUUAAUGGUGGGCACUC